AUUGAACGCUGGCGGCAGGCCUAACACAUGCAAGUCGAACGAGUGGCGGACGGGUGAGUAAUGUCUGGGAAACUGCCCGCUGGAGGGGGAUAACUACUGGAAACGGUCGCUAAUACCGCAUACCCUCGGAUGUGCCCAGAUGGGAUUAGCUAGUAGGUGGGGUAACUGCUCACCUAGGCGACUAUCCCUAGCUGGUCUGAGCGGAUGACCAGCCACACUGGAACUGAGACACGGUCCCGACUCCGACGGGAGGCCGCCGUGGGGAAUAUUGCACAAUGGGCUCAAGCCUGAUGCAGCCAUGCCGCGUGUAUGAAGAAGGCCUUCGGGUUGUAAAGUACUUUCAGCGAGGAGGCGUUACCCGCAGAAGAAGCACCGGCUAACUCCGGGCCAGCAGCCGCGGUAAUUC
RNAcentral lists this ribosomal RNA (406 nucleotides) under uncultured bacterium. RNAcentral describes it as "partial 16S ribosomal RNA". It matches the Rfam family "Bacterial small subunit ribosomal RNA", at positions 30 to 526 of the family's 1533-position model. The record is from RNAcentral.